AAAAGAGAAAAUAAGGCAUUUGGGAUGCCGAUGUUAAAAGGAGAAGGUAAUCAGAGAAGAAAAAAGGAAGUCGGUGGAGAGUUCUGCGAAGAUUUUGAAGAUUUCUAGAGAAGCAGGGGGUUCUGGAGAAGGGAAUAGACUUGGCCAGAUACCCAGGAAGACUUCCUCAACAGAUGUCCCAUCAUGCUGAGAUUCAACGCGACAUUUUAGAGUCAUGCAACCAUGUGAGAAAAAAAGUCCCAGUAACCUUUGUUGGGGCUGGAGGGCAGGAUCCCGAGGUCCCGGAGGAGCUGCUCCACCUCCUCCAGCCAGGACAGCGCGUGCCUCAGGACGUCCAGCACCACCUUCUGGAGCCCCGAGACAGGUGGGCUCACCUGGAGGUGCUGAAGAAGGUCGACCUCCUUCUUCAGGUCAUGGCUGCAACAGGAUAUUUUCAUGCAAGCCUGCAAAGAGGUGAGAUCAUGAGGAGCCCAGGCCCUGUGGCCAGAAAUAGCCCCUGACGUGACCUUCGAGGAACAGCGUUCUUGACUCUGCCACGAAGCAGGCAGCGCCACGUAUUGGCCGCCUUGGGAGGACUCAGUUUUUUUCUUUUUUAAAAUUUUUAUGUUUUGACAGGUUUUUUUUUAAUACUCUAAUUUGGACUUUUGAUGGUCAAAGCGAACCCCCUUUUAGGUCUAUGAAACCCCAGAGCCAAAGUACCAUCAACAGUUUGGCUGCAAUGAGAAGCAAAUGUGGCUACUUCUUUUUUCCAUUCGUCAGAAUUCCUGCCAAGAUCAACACACAAGCUGGUCGGAAAGCGUGGUUUCCUGAUUUGAAAGAGUGCUGACAAGCCAGCAUUUGCACAAACUCCCCAAACAGGAGCUGCUGAUUUCCAGAGAAAGCAGAAGCCACCGCCUGCUCUGAUAAGCCAUGUCCCAGGGUGGGGGCCGCAGGGCUGUGGCCAAGUCCUCCCGUCCCUGCUCCUCCAGAGUCAAAAGCAACGGUGUGGAAACCGCCUUUUGUGGCUGGGCCAAAACAAGAAAAUGCAAAUAAAAAGCAGGAAUGUU
RNAcentral lists this long non-coding RNA (1046 nucleotides) under Homo sapiens (human). Its description in RNAcentral is "HSALNT0290392". Lineage: Eukaryota; Metazoa; Chordata; Mammalia; Primates; Hominidae. The record is from RNAcentral.